UAAUAAUAAUAAUAAACUUUAUUGAUACCCCGCCACCAUCUCCCCAACGGGGACUCGGGGCGGCUUACAUGGGGCCAUGCCCAGAACAAUACAAUAUAACAAAAUAUAAAUAAAACAACAAAUCAUAACACAUUAAACAAUACAAGAAAUGAUUUUUUUUGAAAUACUACCAGCUUAUAUUAAUGAAUUUGCUUUGCCAUAUUUAAAUCUCAUGCAUUUCUUCCCCUUCUCACUUCUUUCUUCUUUCUCUCCCUCUUGUUUAUAAUUGAAUUUUUAAAAAUUCCAAUAAAAUAACUUGCACAAAAAUAUCCAGAAAAUUCACCUAAACCUGUCAAUCAAGUUUGUUUAAUUUUUUUUCAGAAAUCUCAAUUCCCGGAAGAAUGGGAUUUGAAGUAUUAGUUGAUGAAGCACACAAAUUAGUUGAUGGAUUGGCUUCAAAUCCUUACUACAGUUCUGAGUUUGGGCCUAUUAGAUAACAUAUCAAAUAAAUGUGUGCAAUCUGGCCAAAAGGGAUGCCGUUUUGGGCUUCAUUGUUGACUGACCCCUCAUUCUGUUUACUGGGAAGUUACUCGAAAGGGGAGGAGUUUUGGUGUUUUCAUCCAGCAAAGAUUCUGCCCAUUAUGUACAAUGGGAAACUUUAAAUGCUGAAUGCUCAGCUAAUUUAAAGCCUAUUUGCAUGAAACCUACCUCAAUUUUAGACCCCAUUUACAACUGCAAGCCUGUCAAGUUCCAAAACAAUUCACCAAUCUAUUUUUUAAGAAUUAUUUUAAGUCUUAACCAUAAUAUUUUUUAAAAAUAAGACAAACUGUAAGAGAGAGUUCUGGGAAUUGUAGCCGCCAGUUGUGUCGCUUCUCAGCCAAUCAGAGCGUGGACACCACCAGGCUUUUUCUUGGCUUAGAAACACAGAGAGAAAAACUUCAACUCCUUUCAAGUUCCAAGAGGAAGUUUUCAAUGCCCGCCCUGUGCAAGUACUGCUGGGAAAGCAAGUUCCCAGGGCCCUCUCUGGAGGAGAAGGAAACUUUCCAAGAAGAAAUGGAGGACACUGCUUCUGCUGGGGAAUGCGGCAGAUCCCUGCCUCAGAAUGAAUGAAAUAACAUCCCAAAAGAAAACAAGUAUACAGUAUGAUCCCCAUAUGCACAGAAAUUCUACCCAUGGUUUUAUUUAUAUUCAUGCAACAAAGUUCUUUCUGGGCAUUUUUGCCUUGAGUCCCUUUUGGAGUAGAGAAAGGUGGGGUAGAAAUGUCGUAAAUAAAUAAAUAAAUUUUCGAGGUCUUCCAGCUUGAUUUUGUGGUACGUGCCUGUUCCUUUCAAUAGGGUUCAAUAUUAUUUCUGCUUUCAUGUCCAUGAUUGUCUCCUAACAACCCUUUUGUGAGGACAGAGGGCAGUGUAACCCAAAUGUGACACAAUGUUUUGACCCCCCCCCCCCCCAAAAAAAAACUACAGUAAAGGAUUAAGGCUAGAACACAUCUGAUAAAUAACUAAAGCAAAUACUUUUCAGACUUUUAAUCUUCCAAACAUUUACUUAUCUCAUUGAAUGCUCUGUCAAAAUUGAUACUAUGGGACUUGAAACAUAAUCAUUUGAGAUUUAUGACUAUUUAUAUGGCUGCAUAUUUCAUUAUUCAAUGCACACUUCAGUUCAAAGUUAAUUGAAAAAUGAGCUCAUUACUUAUUCUCAUUUGCAAAACCAGACUGAUAUGGCAGCAACCGGAACUUUGUUUAUCUUCAGUGUUUCCAACAAUUAUAUUUAAGAUCAUUAGAAGAUGAAUCCAGAUAUGCAGAAGAAAAGGAAGUAUCUUCUUCCAAACCUCUGAAUCUACCCUGGAUGUGAUCCAGCUGAAGGCAAUUCUUUUGGCGCAUACCAAUUUUAGUGCAAAUGUAAAGAAUAUGCUCCCCCUCUCUUUCUUUUAAAAUAAUACUGCAGAUCAGUGAUACUUGAAAGAACAUUUAUUUUUCUGGAUGGUGCCCCUAAUUUCUGUUUGGUGCAUUGAUAGAUUUAUAUAAAUUGGUGCCAGUCUUUAUUAUUGUGAAACUUAUGUGCUGUUAGGGAGAUGUGGGCAUGGCUUACUUUAUUUUCAUCAUCCUGCUAAUUCAUUUCUUGGAAUUAACCCCACCCUCUAAAUCGUGUUAAGAACAGUGCAGUUGUGUAAGUGUGGGUUGGGAACACACCCGAUUUGUAGGGAAGAAUGUUCUUGCAUAUUUUCAUGUUAUUUUUCAAGCUAGGAAUUACUGCAUCUCAUCUAGUCAGUUUGCAUUCUCACUCAGUAUGAAAUGGAACAAAACCUCUCAUCACUGACAAGUGGACCAGAUGGGCUUUAAUUUUUAGGGAUACUCCUGAGAUCAAGCAGAAGAGCAAUUGAGAAGAUUGUAAGCCCUGCUCAUAACUACCGGUCUAUCUUAAUUUAGGCAGAAAAACAGUUUCUGGAAUUUCAGCUCACACUGAUGUCAUACUUGCAAAUAAAACAUUUAUUUGCAGCCAAAAGGAUUAGAGCCUUUUAAAAAAAACUGCUUUGUUAUUGUAAUGGUUAUGUAAAUCAAACAAAGUCAGAAUUUCUCCAAUCUCACUAUGUUCACUAUCUUCCCUACUUGCGUGCUUCCAAGGAAAGGCAGAGUUCCUUGCUUCUUUGGGAAUGUACUGAAAUGUUUAAAAUGCUCCAUGACAGUCUUCAUUGCUCAGUCUUAUUUAUUUUUAUUUAUUUAUUUGCUACAUUUAUAUGCCGCCCUUCUCACCCCGAAGGAGA
RNAcentral lists this long non-coding RNA (2737 nucleotides) under Anolis carolinensis (green anole). RNAcentral describes it as "lncRNA (ENSACAG00000042858.1)". The record is from RNAcentral. Lineage: Eukaryota; Metazoa; Chordata; Lepidosauria; Squamata; Anolidae.